ACGAGGGGGGCGAGCGUUGUUCGGAAUUAUUGGGCGUAAAGGGCGCGUAGGCGGUUUUUUAAGUCGGAUGUGCAAUCCCUGGGCUCAACCCAGGAACUGCAUCCGAGACUGGAAGGCUAGAGUACUGGAGAGGGUGGUGGAAUUCCUCGUGUAGCGGUGAAAUGCGUAGAGAUGAGGAGGAACACCAGUGGCGAAGGCGGCCAGCUGGGCCAGGUCCGACACUGAGGCGCGAAAGCGUGGGGAUCAAACAGGA
Molecule: ribosomal RNA, 253 nt
Filed under: uncultured prokaryote
Description: partial 16S ribosomal RNA
Rfam family: Bacterial small subunit ribosomal RNA
Source: RNAcentral